RNAcentral lists this ribosomal RNA (444 nucleotides) under uncultured bacterium. Its description in RNAcentral is "partial 16S ribosomal RNA". It matches the Rfam family "Bacterial small subunit ribosomal RNA", at positions 338 to 795 of the family's 1533-position model. The record is from RNAcentral.
CCUACGGGGGGCAGCAGUGGGGAAUAUUGGGCAAUGGAGGAAACUCUGACCCAGCAAUGCCGCGUGAAUGAAGAAGGUCUUCGGAUUGUAAAGUUCUUUAGUCAGGGAAGAAUAAAAUGACGGUACCUGACGAAUAAGCUCCGGCUAACGACGUGCCAGCAGCCGCGGGAAUACGUAGGGAGCAAGCGUUGUUCGGAAUGACUGGGCGUAAAGGGUGCGUAGGCGGUUAUACAAGUUAGAAGUGAAAUACCCAGGGCUUAACUCGGGUGCUGCUUCUAAAACUGUAAGACUUGAGUGCAGUAGAGGUUAGUGGAAUUCCUAGUGUAGCGGUGGAAUGCGUAGAUAUUAGGAGGAACACCAGAGGCGAAGGCGGCUAACUGGACUGCAACUGACGCUGAGGCACGAAAGUGUGGGGAGCAAACAGGAUUAGAUACCCCUGUAGUC